Molecule: RNase P RNA, 368 nt
Filed under: Phormidesmis sp. CAN_BIN44
Lineage: Bacteria; Bacillati; Cyanobacteriota; Cyanophyceae; Leptolyngbyales; Leptolyngbyaceae
Description: partial RNase P RNA component class A
Rfam family: Bacterial RNase P class A
About the family: Ribonuclease P (RNase P) is a ubiquitous endoribonuclease, found in archaea, bacteria and eukarya as well as chloroplasts and mitochondria. Its best characterised activity is the generation of mature 5'-ends of tRNAs by cleaving the 5'-leader elements of precursor-tRNAs. Cellular RNase Ps are ribonucleoproteins.
Source: RNAcentral
GUCUGAGGAAAGUCCGGACUCCCGAAAGACCAAACUUGCUGGGUAACGCCCAGUGCGAGCGAUCGUGAGGAUAGUGCCACAGAAAGAUACCGCCCAAGGGAGGGAUAAAACCCUUUCUUCGGUAAGGGUGCAAAGGUGCGGCAAGAGCGCACCAGCAGCAUCGAGAGGUGCUGGCUCGGUAAACCCCGGUUGGGAGCAAGGUCAAGGAACGAGGGUUGGUCUUUUUCCUGUUCUGUGUGAUGGCGGUGGACGACUGCCGCCAUAGAGAGCCGCUUGAGGUAUUUGGUAACAAAUGUCCCAGAUAGAUAACUGCCCUUUGAGUGCAUUGCACUUAGAGAACAGAACCCGGCUUAUGUCUGGCUCUUCUC